AGAAUCAACGCUGGCGGCGUGCCUAACACAUGCAAGUCGAACGCGAAAGGGGAGCAAUCCCUGAUUAGAGUGGCAAACGGGUGAGUAACACGUGGGUGACCUGCCUUCGAGUGGGGGAUAACCUUCCGAAAGGAGGGCUAAUACCGCAUGACAUACCGUGUUUGGAUACACGGAUAUCAAGGCCGGGGAUCGCAAGACCUGGCGCUUGGAGAGGGGCCCGCGUCCGAUUAGCUAGUUGGUGGGUAACGGCUCACCAAGGCUCCGAUCGGUA
This 271-nucleotide ribosomal RNA is filed under the name uncultured soil bacterium. RNAcentral describes it as "partial 16S ribosomal RNA". It matches the Rfam family "Bacterial small subunit ribosomal RNA", at positions 26 to 285 of the family's 1533-position model. The record is from RNAcentral.